Molecule: long non-coding RNA, 1218 nt
Organism: Mercurialis annua (annual mercury)
Lineage: Eukaryota; Viridiplantae; Streptophyta; Magnoliopsida; Malpighiales; Euphorbiaceae
Exons: 6
Source: RefSeq, a predicted model, not a curated record
ACGGCGGUUUAAACCGUAUCUAUGUAUAAUUAAAGGUGAAAAGGGAAAUUUUUAAAUCUUUUUCACGAUGCUCUCACGUUCAGUUUAUCAUUUUCACAGCUUUCUCUUCCAUGCUUUCUCUUUGAUGCUUUCUCUUCAUGAAUGAUGAAGUUUAAACGGAUUCAUCGAUUAAUUGAUUCAACGAUGCUUUCUCUCAAUGCACAAUCUUCUUCCUUACUGAUUUUUUCAUCGAUUCAGAAACUUAUACAGAGUUAUUCUUCAUGGUGCUCAAAGUUCAGAUUACUGCCUCGAGAAUCGAUUGUGAGGUUUCUAUCACGGAGUGUUAGCUUUGAAUCAUUAUUUCAUUAAGGAUCUCUCAGUCAUGAAGCUAGGGGUUUUGGUUAGUUAUCUUUAGUGCUCCAAAUAAAUAUGAUGUAAUUGGCAGAUUGCUGUAAUUUUCAACUCUCUAGAGGCCAAUGGGAAUUUACUGGUUACUUUGAUAUAUCCUCACAAGUUGAACCAGUGGCAAGCAUGGGGACAACACCUUGAUCUGCAUGUUUCUCCUCUCUUAGCUCUAGCAGCUACUGAGUGUCAGUUACUCGAAGCAGAAUAUGAGGAAUAUGCAAUUGCUAAUAGUAGUAGUAUCGCUUGUCUUCGAUCCGUUGCCCUAAUUGACUGAAACUUGCGGUUGAGAUUGGAACUCCAAAUAUUGCUAAAUCAGGUACUUCGUUUUGGCGCGAAGAGUAGUAGUUUUACAUUUGAAAUGAUAUUGAUGGGAAAUACUUCUAACUCUAAUUGGUUAUUUGGAUUUAUUUUGUGUUUUUUUUGGAUAUUUAUUACUCUCAUGGUCAUGCUGAAAUCUCAUUUCAAAAUGUCCGUGUACCUGCAAAGAAUAUUCCUUAUGGGAAAGGGCCUGGAUUUGAGAUUGCCCAGGAAGCGCUGUCUGAUAAAAACAAUUCGAUACAUGUCUCACAAAAACAGAAGACUUGCCAAAUCAAAGGAAGAAACAUUAAGAGAGCAAGGGGAACAAAAUAGUUUGGCAGGGGAAAGAAUGCAAAAGAUUCAGCUAAUAAAUAUACAAGCGGAAUUACAAGAUCAUCUUUCAAACACUUCAUUUUUUCUUGAAUUCAAUAUGAUUUUUUUUGUUGAAGUCACUAAUUCAAGAUGAAUCAACAGAAUCUAAUGUAUCAAUUUUUGACCAUAAGCAUUACUAUUUAUUAGUAUUAUAAUUUCACAAAA